RNAcentral lists this long non-coding RNA (323 nucleotides) under Homo sapiens (human). Its description in RNAcentral is "HSALNT0339017". Lineage: Eukaryota; Metazoa; Chordata; Mammalia; Primates; Hominidae. The record is from RNAcentral.
CUCAAGCUAGUUUAUACUCAGCCUCCAGCAAAUAGUGAGUUACCACUUAAGUGUUCCUACAGUUAUUUCCUCUAGUAGCGCUCCUCCUAGUAAGCUGUGAUUUUGUGUCUCCAGUUUUCAGUGCAACUAUUUGCCCUGAGACCUCAGUUCUCUGGUGUAUCUAAGAAUUGUCCAUGUUCAAGUUUUCCACUAUUUUUCAUGUUGGGAGAGUGGGACUUCCGAGCUCUUUACAUGUUGCAACAGAAACCAGCAGUAUUAUCUCUUCAGUUAUUCUUUCUCUCUUCUUUUAGGACCCCAGUUAUGUGUAACUUCAUGCACUUGGG